This 219-nucleotide ribosomal RNA is filed under the name uncultured bacterium. Its description in RNAcentral is "partial 16S ribosomal RNA". It matches the Rfam family "Bacterial small subunit ribosomal RNA", at positions 524 to 736 of the family's 1533-position model. The record is from RNAcentral.
UACGGGGGGGGGCAAGCGUUGUUCGGAUUUACUGGGCGUAAAGCGCACGUAGGCGGAUCGUUAAGUCGGGGGUGAAAUCCUGGAGCUCAACUCCAGAACUGCCUUCGAUACUGGCGAUCUCGAGUUCCGGGAGAGGUGAGUGGAACUGCGAGUGUAGAGGUGAAAUUCGUAGAUAUUCGCAAGAACAGCCAGUGGCGAAGGCGGCCAUGCGCUGGACCC